AGUAGCAGCAGAUGGAAGAGGAGGAGGAGGAGGAGGAGAAGGAGGAAGAGGAGGAGAAUGAAUCCACUCCUCACUUUACACAAUUCUAAAGGCAAUGCUGCUGGAAUGGUGGCAGGACAGUGGAUUAGAAGGGGUCCGGUUGCCUGGGAUUUCCCUAGCAGUAGCACACAGUCUCCUAUCCCAGGAAAUCCCUCAGUCCCAAGCAAAUCACGACCUUUGAUCACCUCGCUAAGCGGCACAAGGUGAUAAAAACCUCGUCCCUGGUCUGAAAGACAUUUAAGUCCAGCUGAAGUUCACCAUGAUGUGAGUGUUGAGAAAGGUACAUGGCAUUCAAGAUCCUCGGGGGCAAAUCUGCAAUUUGGAAGGAAAUCAAUAUGGCUACUUCUCCUCUUUUCUCCUUUGGGAGAAGGGGUUCCCAGGACCUGUGGUUGGAGGACAGCACCUGAUGCCUAUUUGUUCACAGUCUUGCUGUACCCGUAAACGCAGACAUUUUGAGGCUGUAUCUGUAUCAGUCAGACGGUACUGGGAGAGUCCCAGCAAUAUUUGACAAGGGGAAGUUUAAUAUAAAGAUUCAGUCAUUAUAACAGGGUGAUAACUAUCAGGAAUAAAAAGAAUGCUAAAGAAUGAAUGCCCUAGGGAGGAAAGUAGCCAAGGAAGAAACAAACUCGGAAGGGGUCCCUCUCCUGGAGCUGGGACUCAAACCUGGUUGAGUGGUUUCAGCCCACUAAAUGCGGGCCAAGUUGCUGGGUGGCCCUUGGUCGCCGAAGCCGGUCUAUAGAUACUGGACAAGUAGGGAAAACGCUUCUGGAGGGCAGGAGAGCAGCACUGGGAAGCAGGAAGCAUCCUCUGGGGCACAUGUGGAUACGGCUGACGAAUCACUCCAGAGUGCAGGAAAAUGGAGGCUGGUGGGCGGGACUGGGCAGGAUGUAGGGCAUCAAGAGCCCAUUUUCUUGAAGCCUAAUGUCAGAGGGUUGCAGUUGAGUGGUCACUGCGACAGGGCUGAGUGCUUGCUUUGAUGUGCACUCUGGUUCAAGGCCGAUACUCUUGCUCCUCCUUCUUCCUGGAACAUUGUUGCCCCAGCUUCCCCAUUGCCUCCUUCAAGCCUCUGUCCCACCACCACUCAGAAUUUGUUCCCUGGCACUCCAUCAAACAGCUUGUCUUCCCUGUGACUCUUUCCUUUUAUCAAGCCCUGUUCUUCUUCAUAAUAACUUACCACUAUGCCAAAUUCUAUUAUUUUAAAUAAUAUAUUUAUUUAUUUACCUAUGCGUAUGUAUUUACCGAUUCACUUAGUCACCAGCUCUAGGAAGGAAGGGACACAACUUGCUUGUUGAGGUAUCCUCAAAACCUAGAACAGUUGAAAGAAUGGAAUAGGUAUCCAAUAGAUAUUGAUGAUAUGAAUGACUAUAGGUGUCAGAAACGGGGAAGUUCUUCUGGAAUAGAAGGCCGUAUGCAGACAGACCUAUAGCAAUAGAAUUUUAGCCCUUAACUGAGUUAGCAGAGCAACAAAGUGUUUGCAUUUUGGUUAUUCUACCCCAACUUGAUGAAAAUGAGUUCCAUUCACUUUGUGUGUUGUAUAAUUAAUAUACAGUAAAAUUUAUUUGUGUGUGUAUAUGUGUGUGUGUACAGUUCUGUGAGUUUUGACAAAUAUAUACAAUUUUGUAAAAUCAGUGCAAUCAGCAUAUAAAGCAGGGGUUCCCAGGUGGCUCAGUUAGUUGAGCAUCCAACUCUUGAUUUCAGCUUAGGUCAUGACCCCAGGAUCAUGGGCUCAAGUUCCGCGUCAAGGUUCCAUGCUGUGUGGAGUCUGCUAAAGAUUCUCUCUCACUUUUCCUCUGCCCCACUC
Long non-coding RNA from Suricata suricatta (meerkat), 1840 nucleotides. RefSeq lists it as uncharacterized. The transcript has 3 exons. Lineage: Eukaryota; Metazoa; Chordata; Mammalia; Carnivora; Herpestidae. The record is from RefSeq and is a predicted model, not a curated record.